AGAGUUUGAUCCUGGCUCAGGACGACGCUGGCGGCGUGCUUAACACAUGCAAGUCGAACGGUGACCUCGGAGCUUGCUCCGGGCGAUCAGUGGCGAACGGGUGAGUAACACGUGAGUAACCUGCCCCAGACUCUGGGAUAACCCCGGGAAACCGGAGCUAAUACCGGAUACGACACGAAGAGGCAUCUCUAUCGUGUGGAAAGUUUUUCGGUCUGGGAUGGACUCGCGGCCUAUCAGCUAGUUGGUGAGGUAACGGCUCACCAAGGCGACGACGGGUAGCCGGCCUGAGAGGGCGACCGGCCACACUGGGACUGAGACACGGCCCAGACUCCUACGGGAGGCAGCAGUGGGGAAUAUUGCACAAUGGGCGAAAGCCUGAUGCAGCGACGCCGCGUGGGGGAUGACGGCCUUCGGGUUGUAAACCCCUUUCAGCAGGGAAGAAGCGAAAGUGACGGUACCUGCAGAAGAAGCACCGGCUAACUACGUG
RNAcentral lists this ribosomal RNA (487 nucleotides) under uncultured Intrasporangiaceae bacterium. Its description in RNAcentral is "bacterial SSU rRNA". It matches the Rfam family "Bacterial small subunit ribosomal RNA", at positions 8 to 507 of the family's 1533-position model. Lineage: Bacteria; Bacillati; Actinomycetota; Actinomycetes; Micrococcales; Intrasporangiaceae. The record is from RNAcentral.